AACCUCUGGGGCGAGAAGAUGUUUGACUACGACCGCAAGAUGGCGCCUGGAAUCACCAGCUACUCGUUGCCCCUACCCACUCACUAUCUCUAUAGUGGGUGCCAAUUCUGGCGUUUUCCAUCUCCGACAUCAUGUUUAAAAUUCAGACAGUAGAUAUUCUAAUAAUUGAAUGCUAGCUAUCAAGAUCUUAUAUUUAAGAAUAAUUCGUGUGCGGCGAGCGGCUCCUCAGUGGCUUGGCACAGCAUUGGAACGGCCCGAGAUCAGCCAAUUGUCCGAAUAUUUUUGGUCUGGCGAGAUCCACCAAAAUCUUCAUCGAGAUCUUGAGAUUCAUCCCUGAUCAGUUUGAGGCCGAAAUACUCGUUUGGAUCCACGCAACUUCGAUGCUUUGUUUGAAGCGCUUUGUUCAGAAAGCCUACUGACAUUGGUAGGGAAUCCUUAUGGC
Molecule: small RNA, 442 nt
Filed under: Histoplasma capsulatum var. duboisii H88
Lineage: Eukaryota; Fungi; Ascomycota; Eurotiomycetes; Onygenales; Ajellomycetaceae
Description: Histoplasma capsulatum H88 hypothetical RNA
Source: RNAcentral